GUAUUCCUCGUGUACUCCCCCUCUUCCUUCUUUUUUUCAGCUGCUUCCCUUUCCCUUGAAGAGAAAAAUGAGAAGAAACUUUUCAACCAAAAUGAACAAACACCUCAGCACGUAAUGCCUAGGAUUGCUGUCAACAGAAAAGGGGCUGGAAUCAUCCAUAUUCUAAGAGGCCCUAUUCUUUGAAAAUAGAAAAAUGCAUUACGUUGCAUCCUUUUGCCUGGAAGACUCUUAUUGCAGUAGAAGAAAACCAGCAUUUAUGGAACCACAAGCAAGACUUGUUCAAGUCGAAACUCAGUGAAGACAAGAGUGACUUUUCCUAGCUCUGCUGCAAGGUUCACUGCCAGAUUCCCUAACUGGUCAUAUUUAGCAAAAGAAAUAUAAGAGGAUAGUUUAUGGUAGUAGCUAAUGUGAAAUCAGAAAUCAUCUGAUGCUAAAGACUAGUCUCCUAAUGAUGUUGAAAAAAAGGAAAGCAUAUGAGCUAAUAUUUUAAAAAUUCUCAAUUGUGGGAAAUACAGUUGUAAAAUAAACCAAAUCAUUCAGAA
Molecule: long non-coding RNA, 542 nt
Organism: Bubalus bubalis (water buffalo)
Lineage: Eukaryota; Metazoa; Chordata; Mammalia; Artiodactyla; Bovidae
Exons: 4
Source: RefSeq, a predicted model, not a curated record